AAUGCACAUUACUGGAACCUGGAGUUGAGAGGCCAGGCAGCCGCUGGCCUCCCAAGUGUAGGCAGUGUGCUACAUGAGGGGCAACUUUCUCUAACACCACAAGGGUCUCUGGCCCAAUGAGUGCAGUUUGAUAGUAAUCCUUGCUACAAGU
Molecule: small nucleolar RNA, 151 nt
Organism: Molossus molossus (Pallas's mastiff bat)
Lineage: Eukaryota; Metazoa; Chordata; Mammalia; Chiroptera; Molossidae
Source: RefSeq, a predicted model, not a curated record